GAGCUCAGUUGUGUUGAGCAUGGGGCUGAUAAUGCCGAGGUUGCAGGUUUGAUUCCUGUAAGGGACA
Podarcis lilfordi (Lilford's wall lizard) is the source of this 67-nucleotide non-coding RNA. The record is from the annotation of a GenBank genome assembly. Lineage: Eukaryota; Metazoa; Chordata; Lepidosauria; Squamata; Lacertidae.